Molecule: ribosomal RNA, 465 nt
Filed under: uncultured bacterium
Lineage: Bacteria
Description: bacterial SSU rRNA
Rfam family: Bacterial small subunit ribosomal RNA
Source: RNAcentral
GCCAGACUCCUACGGGAGGCAGCAGUGAGGAAUAUUGGUCAAUGGCCGGAAGGCUGAACCAGCCAUGCCGCGUGAAGGUCAGUGCCCUAUGGGCGUUAAACUUCUUUUGUGCGGGAGCAAUAAUGGUCACGUGUGGCCAGACGAGAGUACCGCACGAAAAAGCAUCGGCUAACUACGUGCCAGCAGCCGCGGUAAUACGUAGGUGGCAAGCGUUAUCCGGAUUUACUGGGUGUAAAGGGCGUGUAGGCGGGACCGCAAGUCAGAUGUGAAAUGCCAGGGCUCAACCCUGGAACUGCAUGUGAAACUGUAGUUCUUGAGUGAUGGAGAGGGAGGCGGAAUUCCGUGUGGAGCGGUGAAAUGCGUAGAUAUACGGAGGAACACCAGUGGCGAAGGCGGCCUGCUGGACAUUAACUGACGCUGAGGCGCGAAAGCGUGGGGAGCAAACAGGAUUAGAUACCCCCGUAC